AGCGAACGCUGGCGGCAGGCCUAACACAUGCAAGUCGAGCGGCCGUAGCAAUACGGCAGCGGCAGACGGGAGAGUAACACGUGGGAACGUGCCCUUUGGUUCGGAAUAACGCAGGGAAACUUGCGCUAAUACCGAAUAAGCCCUUACGGGGAAAGAUUUAUCGCCAUUGGAGCGGCCCGCGUCUGAUUAGCUAGUUGGUGGGGUAACGGCUCACCAAGGCGACGAUCAGUAGCNGGUCUGAGAGGAUGAUCAGCCUCACUGGGACUGAGACACGGCCCAGACUCCUACGGGAGGCAGCAGGUGGGGAAUAUUGGACAAUGGGCGCAAGCCUGAUCCAGCCAUGCCGCGUGGAUGAUGAAGGCCUUAGGGUUGUAAAGCUCUUUUGUGCGGGAAGAUAAUGACGGUACCGCAAGAAUAACG
This 420-nucleotide ribosomal RNA is filed under the name uncultured bacterium. RNAcentral's name for it is "bacterial SSU rRNA". It matches the Rfam family "Bacterial small subunit ribosomal RNA", at positions 29 to 491 of the family's 1533-position model. The record is from RNAcentral.